GUCAAUGAGGGUGAGAAUCCUGUUUGUCAUGUGCAGCCCUUUGUGCACGGUGUAUAUUUGCUGAGUCACACUCCUUGGCAUUGGAAUGCAAAGUGGGUGGUAAGUUUCAUGUAAAGGUAAACAUGCAAUUGAGACUGAUAGCACACAAGUACCAUGAGGGAAAUAUGAAAAGGACUUUGAAAAGAGAAUUAAAUGAGUUUGUAUUUGCUGAACACAAAGUAAACAGACUUGAUUUGCUUGGUGGGAGUGUUGCACUUGCUUGACAAGAGCUUUGGGCUGUGGGUGUAAUGAUUCUUUCUUUGCAUGCCAGUUUCUAUUUGUACAUCUGAUUACCUUUGCACAUGAAUGAUAAGUCUCCUGUGGGGGGUGGAUUGCAUGUGCAUGUAAUGAUUUGUGUUUUGAUAAAUGUGUCUGGUGUAUGUGUGUGUUCCUGUGCUUGGGGAUGCUUCCUUCCUUGGACUUACAAGCCCUGACACACACAUGCUGGCAAAAUGCUUCUGCUUGACCCGUCUUGAAACACGGACCAAGGAGUCUAACAGAUGUGCAAAGUUUGAAGGUGGUAUACCUUUGUGUGCAAUGAAAGUGUCAGCUGGGAUAUGUGCACCAGCACCCAAUUAAUUAGCGGACAGAGGUUUGAGUUGGAGCAUAUCUAUUAGGACCCGAAAGAUGGUGAACUAUGCCUGAACAGAAUGAAUUCAGAGGAAACUCUGAUGGAGGUUCGUAUCGAUACUGACGUGCAAAUCGUUCGUCAUAUUUGGGUAUAGGGGCGAAAGACUAAUCGAACCAUCUAGUAGCUGGUUCCCUCCGAAGUUUCCCUCAGGAUAGCUGGAGUUGCUCAGUUUUAUCAGGUAAAGCGAAUGAUUAGAGGAAUUGGGGACAGGUUUGUCUUUGACCUAUUCUCAAACUUUAAAUGGGUAAUAUGUAGUGGUUGCUGUAUGGAACUUCUAAGAUAAAUGGCAAUAUUGGGUGGGCCAUUUUUGGUAAGCAGAACUGGCGAUGAGGGAUGAACCUAAUGUGGGGCUAAGGUGCUUAAUU
RNAcentral lists this ribosomal RNA (1035 nucleotides) under Alexandrium catenella. RNAcentral describes it as "partial large subunit ribosomal RNA". It matches the Rfam family "Eukaryotic large subunit ribosomal RNA", at positions 202 to 1194 of the family's 3401-position model. Lineage: Eukaryota; Dinophyceae; Gonyaulacales; Pyrocystaceae. The record is from RNAcentral.